The sequence is a ribosomal RNA, 540 nucleotides long. The stretch from base 162 to 315 matches the Rfam family "5.8S ribosomal RNA".
GGAUUCGAAGGGAAAAACUCCCAACCAUUGUGAACCUUACCACUGUUGCUUCUGCGGCCUCGCCCCGGGCGCGUUCCUGUGGCCCGGACCCAGGCGUCCGCCGGAGGCUCCAAACUCUUGUCUUUUAGUGUAUUUCUGAGUGGCAUAAGCAAAUAAAUCAAAACUUUCAGCAACGGAUCUCUUGGUUCUGGCAUCGAUGAAGAACGCAGCAAAAUGCGAUAAGUAAUGUGAAUUGCAGAAUUCAGUGAAUCAUCGAAUCUUUGAACGCACAUUGCGCCCGCCAGUAUUCUGGCGGGCAUGCCUGUCUGAGCGUCAUUUCAACCCUCAGGACCCGUUCGCGGGACCUGGCGUUGGGGAUCAGCCUGCCCCUGGCGGCGGCUGGCCCUGAAAUCCAGUGGCGGUUCCCUCGCGAACUCCUCCGUGCAGUAAUUAAACCUCUCGCGGCAGGAUAGCGGUUGAACCACGCCGUUAAACCCCCCACUUCUCAAGGUUGACCUCAGAUCAGGUAGGAAUACCCGCUGAACUUAAGCAUAUCAAUAA